Triticum urartu is the source of this 970-nucleotide non-coding RNA. Lineage: Eukaryota; Viridiplantae; Streptophyta; Magnoliopsida; Poales; Poaceae. The record is from RefSeq and is a predicted model, not a curated record.
ACAUGAUGCAUAGAACUUGAAUAUGAAUUUUUUUGGCACUUAAGCUUGGAAGUAUAGAAAGAAGUGGUAUUCAGGAGUUUUGUCCAAGGUCAGGGGUACAUCAUAUCUGAUAUAUGUUCUUCUGAUCCACUUUGAACUGUAUAUCUUAAAUGGAAAUUGUGCUUGCUAUGUUUGAUAAGGAUGUGCUCCCUAUUCUGAGCCCAUCUGUAACUAAUUUCCAUGCAUCUCUGCAAAAAAUCUAAGGUUUGUACAACAUUCUAGUUUAUUCUCCUAGCUUAAUGCUGGAGCACAGAUCUGACGAGUUGCUUUCCAUCGGGAGGUUUGUAAUCCAUGAUUCCAAAAUCUUGUGUUACAUAAGUGUGAAAUGACUUUGUACGAUCUGGUGAUACAUCAUCUCGGAGGUCCCUGUCUAUAUAUGAAGAAGAUAGACUUCUUGAAAAGUGAGAUAUUUACUGUUGGGGCUCACAAUGAGAUCACAGCCUAUUAUGCCCGCGCGCCGGUGAAAUAUCUUUAGGUCCCUCUAAGUUUUUCUUUGUUGAAAUCCAUUGAUUAGGAGUUCCUUGAACAAAAGAUGCUUUGGCAAUUGGAAGCCUGGAAAGGGAACAAUCUUUCUAUGGGAGAUCUAAAGCUAAGGGUGGUUUGGGAGUUAAAGAUCCGGGGAAACUAAACAUCAGGCUCCUCUGUAAGUGGUGGUGAAAAUUAGAUGAUCAUGAUGACCUUUGGCAAGAUGUUGUUAAAUCUAUGUACUUCAGAAAGCACAUUGUGCCUAGCUAGAGUUAAACCCUGGUUUGAAGAUUCUCCUGCUCAGAAAAAUCAUUUGAAAGUGAAUGAGGUAUUUCGCGUAAAGGGGGAGUGAUGAGAUUUUGGAAGGACCCAUAGGAGGACAGCGUGCCUUUGGUUGAGAAAUAUCAUGCGCCUUAUGGUGUUUGGCAUAUUCAGGAAUGUAAUGGUCCUAAUGUUUUUCAACUUC